UUGUCAUACUUCCAAGAAAAGCUUGCACUGUCAUAAACAAAUAAUGCCUGUACCAUAACCGACACAGGUGGGUAGGUAGAGUAUACUAAGGGGCGCGAGAUAACUCUCUCUAAGGAACUCGGCAAAAUGACUCCGUAACUUCGGGAGAAGGAGUGCCUUCUUUAGAAGGUUGCAAUAACAAGAUCCAAGCAACUGUUUACCAAAAACACAGGUCUCCGCUAAGUCGUAAGACGAUGUAUGGGGGCUGACGCCUGCCCAGUGCCAGAAGGUUAAAGAAGUUGGUUAGCAUUCGCGAAGCUGAUAACUGAAGCCCUGGUGAACGGCGGCCGUAACAAUAACGGUCCUAAGGUAGCGAAAUUCCUUGUCGGGUAAGUUCCGACCCGCACGAAAGGCGUAAUGAUUUGGAUACUGUCUCGGAGAGGGACUCGGUGAAAUAGACUUGUCUGUGAAGAUGCGGACUACCUGCACCUGGACAGAAAGACCCUAUGAAGCUUUACUGUAACUUGAAAUUGAAAUUGGACUUUAUUUGCGCAGUAUAGGUGGGAUGCUUUGAGAAUAAUCUUGCGGGAUUACUGGAGCUAUCAGUGAGAUACCACUCUUGUAAUGUUAGAUUUCUAACUUUGGAUCAUUAUCUGGUCAAAGAACAGUUUCAGGCGGGCAGUUUGACUGGGGCGGUCGCCUCCCAAACGGUAACGGAGGCGCACAAAGGUUUCCUCCGAACGGGUAGAAAUCGUAUCUAGAGUGUAAAGGCAUAAGGAAGCUUGACUGUGAGACCUACAAGUCGAGCAGGGACGAAAGUCGGUCUUAGUGAUCUGACGGUGCUGAGUGGAAAGGCCGUCACUCAACGGAUAAAAGUUACUCUAGGAUAACAGGCUGAUCUCCCCCAAGAGUUCACAUCGACGGGGAGGUUUGGCACCUCGAUGUCGGCUCAUCGCAUCCUGGGGCGGUAGUACGUCCCAAGGGUUGGGCUGUUCGCCCAUGAAAGCGGUACGCGAGCUGGGUUCAGAACGUCGUGAGACAGUUCGGUCCAUAUCCGGUGUAGGCGUUAGAAUAUUGAGAGGAGCCUUCUCUAGUACGAGAGGACCGAGAAGGACAUACCUCUGGUGUACCAGUUAUCGUGCCAACGGUAAACGCUGGGCAGCUAUGUAUGGAGUGGAUAACCGCUGAAAGCACCUAAGUGGGAAGCCCACCUCAAGAUAAG
RNAcentral lists this ribosomal RNA (1201 nucleotides) under metagenome. RNAcentral's name for it is "bacterial LSU rRNA". It matches the Rfam family "Bacterial large subunit ribosomal RNA", at positions 1597 to 2808 of the family's 2925-position model. The record is from RNAcentral.